GACGAACGCUGGCGGCGUGCUUAACACAUGCAAGUCGAACGGAAAGGCCCUGCUUUUGUGGGGUGCUCGAGUGGCGAACGGGUGAGUAACACGUGAGUAACCUGCCCUUGACUGUGGGAUAACUUCAGGAAACUGGGGCUAAUACCGGAUAGGAGCUCCUGCUGCAGGGUGGGGGUGGGAAAGUUUCGGCGGUUGGGGAUGGACUCGCGGCUUAUCAGCUUGUUGGUGGGGUAGUGGCUUACCAAGGCUUUGACGCGUAGCCGGCCUGAGAGGGUGACCGGCCCCAUUGGGACUGAGCUACGGCCCAGACUCCUACGGGAGGCAGCAGUGGGGUAUAUUGCACAAUGGGCUGAAGCCUGAUGUAGCCCAGCAGCGUCCGGGAUGUCGUCCUUCGGGUUGUAAUCCGCUUUCGCCUGUGACGAAGCGUUAGUGACGGUAAUGGGUAAAGAAGCACCGGCUAACUCCGUG
RNAcentral lists this ribosomal RNA (468 nucleotides) under uncultured bacterium. RNAcentral's name for it is "partial 16S ribosomal RNA". It matches the Rfam family "Bacterial small subunit ribosomal RNA", at positions 28 to 507 of the family's 1533-position model. The record is from RNAcentral.